UGGGGAAUAUUGGGCAAUGGGCGAAAGCCUGACCCAGCGACGCCGCGUGGGCGAUGAAGGUCUUCGGGUUGUAAAGCCCCGUCAUGCGGAAAGAACGACCCUGAGACGCAUACUCUCAGGGCGUGACGGUACCGCAGGAGGAAGCACCGGCUAACUCCGUGCCAGCAGCCGCGGUACUACGGAGGGUGCAAGCGUUGUUCGGAAUUAUUGGGCGUAAAGGGCGCGUAGGCGGUAAUGUAAGUCAGAUGUGAAAUACUCCGGCUCAACCAGAGAACAGCAUCUGAAACUGCAUAACUAGAGUACAGAAGGGGGAAACGGAAUUCCCGGUGUAGAGGUGAAAUUCGUAGAUAUCGGGAGGAACACCAGUGGCGAAGGCGGUUUCCUGGUCUGAUACUGACGCUGAGGCGCGAAAGCGUGGGGAGCAAACA
Molecule: ribosomal RNA, 428 nt
Filed under: uncultured prokaryote
Description: bacterial SSU rRNA
Rfam family: Bacterial small subunit ribosomal RNA
Source: RNAcentral